CACACCAUAUGCUAGUGCCUUGGUACCAGGCAUUAUAGAUUUAGCUCUUUCACACCCUGCCCUCCUGCCAGAUCUCCUCAAUAUGUUCAGACACAUCACAGCUUCUCUCAAUUCCAUCCUCCUAACCCAUUCUCUCCAGGAAUCUUCAAACCUGCCUGAUCUAGCCUGGCCUGGCUCACAGCUGUCAUCCAGGGAGCUCCCGGCCUCUCCUGAACUGCGUUCCUUGUCUUCCUCUUUCUUGGCUUACUCCCUCAUUUUGCUGUACCAUAUCCUCUAGUGGUUUUCUGAGAAAGGAUACAUACAAGCUUUCAGGACGUGUUGAAGUCUGAAGCCAUUCCAAUCCUGAAAUCCCUGGGAAUCCGUCUACUCUCAGGAAGGAGGGAGUGUGGGCAAGUGUAUCAGUCGUCCAUUGCACAAUACUGGGGUGCCUUCAGAGCGAGCCGCCUGCCCUGGGAGACACUGAAGAAAAUGCACUCGGACGCGGCGCCUUCGCCCAGAGCUCCCUGUCUUCAUCUCCUUGGCGCAUUGCGUGUCUAUCUCUACCCGGGCUCCCUUCUGGCCUGUGUCUUCAACACCUGCUCACUAAGGACGUCGGUUUGGCCUCCCGAACAUAUCUGACGUCCACCCGCUUCUCUCCCUUCCCACUGCAUCCCACCUGGUUUUAAGGGCUGUCACCGCUUCCUUAAACUGUUGCCACAGCCCCUGGCUUUUCCUCUUUCCCCUGAGGCGAAGCUCUGCCAGUCUGAUCUGUACCCCGCAGCGGACGUGCGUGUUCUGCAGUGCGGCCCUGAGCGUGGCACGCUCUGCUGGCGGCGCUGGCCUCCUGGUGGAGGCUCUGCUGGGCGCCCACCGGGCAGCUGUGCCAGGAAGUGCAGGGCCUCCUUCUCGCACCCAAGGAGAGCCCCCGUUUCUGCCGUUUCCACUGUGUUCUGACUCUGGCAGGGGGGACUUUUGGAAUUCAUCUUUCUCUUCCUCCUGCCGCCCCAGGUCUCUCUGGAGCCCAGCCGUUAGUCCUCUCAGGUUCUUGUUUUCCAUGUGGGGGUGGGGGCUGGGGGCUUCUAAGGAUAGGAAAGAACAAUGUAAUGAGAUGUUGCCUCAAAGAAAUAUUACCCCCAAGCCCAUCCACCACUGAAAACUACAGUUCGUGCUGUUGGCCCUCCCCUGAUGCUCCUGGCCCCUCCCCAGGGUGGCCGCACACUCCCUUCCUGGACCCCUUCCUUCUCCUCCAGCCUCUGUCCGCUCCACAGAUAGGGAGCCAGGACAGCAAGCUGGCCACGUGUAACCCGGCUUGGGGAGGAGCAGAGCUCGUCCACAUCUACCAUGGGGGCAGCCGCCUCCCAGGAACGGGCUGUGCAGGAACACGUGCCCUGUGCCGCCCAGCCCUCCAAGGAAAUCCGAGCGGCCUCCUGCUGCUACGGGGGCAGGCUCAAGGUCUGCCU
Molecule: long non-coding RNA, 1439 nt
Filed under: Equus caballus (horse)
Lineage: Eukaryota; Metazoa; Chordata; Mammalia; Perissodactyla; Equidae
Description: lncRNA (ENSECAG00000051332.1)
Source: RNAcentral